CCAGACUCCUACGGGGGGCAGCAGUAAGGGAUAUUGGUCAAUGGGGGAAACCCUGAACCAGCAACGCCGCGUGAGGGAAGACGGUUUUCGGAUUGUAAACCUCUGUCCUCUGUGAAGAUGAUGACGGUAGCAGAGGAGGAAGCCCCGGCUAACUACGUGCCAGCAGCCGCGGUAAUACGUAGGGGGCAAGCGUUAUCCGGAUUUACUGGGUGUAAAGGGAGCGUAGACGGCAUAGCAAGUCUGAAGUGAAAGCCCGUGGCUCAACCGCGGAACUGCUUUGGAAACUGUAUAGCUGGAGUGCAGGAGAGGUAAGUGGAAUUCCUAGUGUAGCGGUGAAAUGCGUAGAUAUUAGGAGGAACACCAGUGGCGAAGGCGGCUUACUGGACUGUAACUGACGUUGAGGCUCGAAAGCGUGGGGAGCAAACAGGAUUAGAUACCCGCGUA
RNAcentral lists this ribosomal RNA (444 nucleotides) under uncultured bacterium. RNAcentral describes it as "partial 16S ribosomal RNA". It matches the Rfam family "Bacterial small subunit ribosomal RNA", at positions 331 to 792 of the family's 1533-position model. The record is from RNAcentral.